AGCUCAGCUGGCUAGAGCAUGGCGCUUUUGGCGCCAGGGUCCUGGGUUCGAAUCCCUGAUCCUCCA
RNAcentral lists this transfer RNA (66 nucleotides) under Saprospiraceae bacterium. RNAcentral's name for it is "tRNA-Lys". It matches the Rfam family "tRNA", at positions 9 to 71 of the family's 71-position model. From Rfam's summary of the family: Transfer RNA (tRNA) molecules are approximately 80 nucleotides in length. Lineage: Bacteria; Pseudomonadati; Bacteroidota; Saprospiria; Saprospirales; Saprospiraceae. The record is from RNAcentral.